AUUGCUCCAGGAAAUAGCCUGUUGAGAAUUCAGUGCUAGGAGAAAGCUGUGCUUUCCAAAUGAAUCCUAUGCCUUCUAAAAAGACAUCCAUAUGAUCCACAUAUAUUUUCUUUCUUUGCCUUAGCUGCCAGGGAGCUAGCAGUUAAAUUAGGUGGCUCACAGCAAUCAUUAGCUCUUCUCUAUUUUCUCUACAAAUGUAUCUGCAAUAUUUUUUUUUCCAGAGUAAGGUCUUUCUCCCAAUGGAGAAAUCACUUGGGCCACUUCUGCAUCUAGAGUGUCAGACCCAAGCUAGGAAAAAGAAUCAUCUUUAAAAGUAUGUCAUCAGCACUCAAGACCUUUAAUGAGCCAGCGGAAUUGGUCUCCUGGUCCUCUCCUCACUCCACAGAGACUGAAAACGAACCAGACAGAGGACGAGAGUCCACAUGCUGAACCACUUAAAUUCACAUGGCGGCUAAGAAGACAAGAGUUUCGGCAGGCAUAGAGGCUAAGAGAGUUAAGAGAAUCCUCCUUGCCUAGUACAGUCCCGAGAGAAUCCUCCUUGCCUAGUACAGUCCCAAGCUGCAUCAUAACCAGAUGAAAUGAAAAAGUUUUUUCUCCCAA
RNAcentral lists this long non-coding RNA (600 nucleotides) under Pan troglodytes (chimpanzee). RNAcentral's name for it is "lincRNA". Lineage: Eukaryota; Metazoa; Chordata; Mammalia; Primates; Hominidae. The record is from RNAcentral.